UGACCUAUGGUGUAAUGGUAGCACAGCAGAUUUUGGUUCUGUCGGUCAAGGUUCGAAUCCUUGUAGGUCAACAA
RNAcentral lists this transfer RNA (74 nucleotides) under Bacteroidota bacterium. RNAcentral's name for it is "Bacteroidetes bacterium (sediment metagenome) tRNA-Gln". It matches the Rfam family "tRNA". Rfam says of the family: Transfer RNA (tRNA) molecules are approximately 80 nucleotides in length. Lineage: Bacteria; Pseudomonadati; Bacteroidota. The record is from RNAcentral.